ACUUCACCAAGCGGCCGGUCCGAGGGGACAUGGCGGCAACCUCUGCAGCGUCAGUGCUGCUGGCGGGUGCAAGAAACUGGUGGCGACACUGCCUGAGCCCGCUGCUGUUGCCAAGGUGACGAGGCAUAAAGCCGCGGUGGAUCGGUGCGUGGGGGCGCGGGGUGGGUGGUGAAGGGAGAACGAAGCUCGAGCGGAAAGACAGGACCGCGACCGCUUGUCAGGGGAUUCGGCUUCCAGUCCCCCUUCCAGAGGGCGUCCUUCUGCAGCCAGGCCUCUGUCUUCCCCCGCCCCCACACGAGUCUCACUUCAUCACCAUGCUGGAGUGCAGUGGCACUAUCUGAGAUCACUGCAAUCUCCGCCUCUCGGAUUCAAGCGAUUCUCGUGCCUCAGCCUCCCGAGUAGUAGCUGGGAGUACAGGCAUGUGCCACCAUGCCCAGCUAAUUUUUGUAUUUUUGGUACAGACCUGGUUUCGCCUUGUUGGCCAGGCUGGUCUCGAGCUUCUGACCUCAAGUGAUCCGCCUGCCUCGGCCUUCCAAAGUGCUGGGAUUACAGGCGUGAACCACUGAGACUGGUCAGUUAUUGGCUCUUUUUAAAGAUUGUGUUGCUUUCUGCCUCAAUAUUAAUAUGUUGGAAGUUACCAAGAAGUUCAUGACAGAUCUAUUUCAAAUUCUGGUGAAGAAGGAAGAAUUGGCCCUUGAAAGAAUCAGUGUUUUACAAUAAUUUUGAAAGAGGGGGUUGGUGGUGUUUUGCAGGUAGCGACAGAAGGAAGAAAACAUUAUCAGGAGGGAAUUCAGAUAAAGGACAAACCAUAUUUUGACUGCUACUGACUUGUUGAACUGGCAGUCGGGGUCAACUUGGGAAGACAGCUGUGACCAUAAAUAUUAAAGAAGACAAAAGGAUUCUUUGUGACACUGAGACCUUCUGCAGUACCACAGUGGAGGAAAUGCCAGUGUACACAACUGGCCUCAUUUAAUUCCUGGGAGGAGAUAGUUUGGGAUGCAGUGCUUGUUGUUGCUGAGCAGGCGAUCACAGCAUGCACUGUGUUUCUUUCUUUGAGAAUAUUUGAAUCCUGCCUGAAUACUCGUAACAGAUGAGAGACGCAGGUUUUGAUAGCAUAGAUUUACGCUGUCAUUAGUCAUGAGCUCUUGGGACGAAAGUAAUUGGUUUUAUCCUGUUU
This 1177-nucleotide long non-coding RNA is filed under the name Homo sapiens (human). RNAcentral's name for it is "LHRI_LNC898.3". Lineage: Eukaryota; Metazoa; Chordata; Mammalia; Primates; Hominidae. The record is from RNAcentral.